This 67-nucleotide transfer RNA is filed under the name Deltaproteobacteria bacterium. Its description in RNAcentral is "tRNA-Glu". It matches the Rfam family "tRNA". From Rfam's summary of the family: Transfer RNA (tRNA) molecules are approximately 80 nucleotides in length. Their secondary structure includes four short double-helical elements and three loops (D, anti-codon, and T loops). Further hydrogen bonds mediate the characteristic L-shaped molecular structure. tRNAs have two regions of fundamental functional importance: the anti-codon, which is responsible for specific mRNA codon recognition, and the 3' end, to which the tRNAs corresponding amino acid is attached (by aminoacyl-tRNA synthetases). tRNAs cope with the degeneracy of the genetic code in two manners: having more than one tRNA (with a specific anti-codon) for a particular amino acid; and 'wobble' base-pairing, i.e. permitting non-standard base-pairing at the 3rd anti-codon position. The record is from RNAcentral. Lineage: Bacteria; Pseudomonadati; Myxococcota; Myxococcia.
GGGGGUGAGUGAUGGUCAACACCUGGUCUUCAGCCAGGCACCGAGGGUUCGAUUCCCUCCGUCCCCU